GUUUAAAAGCUGGUGCAAAAGAAAAUUUAGGGUGAGUAGUUAACUCAUGUGUUACAGCCUUUUGCUUGGACGAGGACGGUGUCGUUUUGAGCUUUAAAGUGAUUAGGAUAGCUUCUUAUCAAGCGAAAAAGUGAUUAGGAUAGCUUCUUCGAGUUGAUUCACACGCCCGCGAUUAGCUAUCUAAAACGAUUUAACAGGGAUGGAAUUCUGCUUUUAAGGAGAUUAGAUUCAUGAUUGUCUAAAGACUUACCCUCUGAUCUCCAGAAGCUCCGUUGUAAGGCAGCGUUUGAAGCACUGAAGUUCUCGCCAAGGGUUAUGGAGAUACGGAAGAAGCUUGCUGAAAGGAUGAGGAGCAAAGGUCCUUUACAUUGCCCUUCAUCUUCGACUUGAGAAAGACGUGUGGGUGAGAACAGGCUGCCUUACUGGUUUGAGCUCAAAGUAUGAUGAGAUUGCAAGACUAGAAGGGAUUAAGCGGCCUCAGCUCUUAACAACCAAAUCUAGCAAGACACCUAAUGAGAGGAAACUUGCAGGUCUCUGUCGUUAAAUGCCAAGGAAGUAACAAGGUUAGUGAGUGAGCUACUGUUUUUCUUUACAACAAAUACGAUAUUGCAUUGCCCCCAUGAACUCAAUCCUUUCGCAAAACGAGCUUCGAUAAUGGCAGCAAUCGACUAUAUAGUAUGCAAGGAGAGUGAUGUGUUCAUGGCAUCUCAUGGAGGAAACAUGGGCUGCGCAAUUAAGGUACACACACACACUCUUUUGGUGGUCAAUUUAAUGUCUGUGUUUACAUAUUCUCAAGGCUAAGGUGUUGAAAACUAAUCUUUCACAGGGCCACAGUGCUUAUGAAGGACAUAAGAAGCUUAUAACACCAAACAAAAGGCAAAUGCUCCCAUACUUUUUGAACAAAACAAUGACUGAGACAGAGUCUGAGAAGAUGAUGAAGAAAUUACACAAACAAUCUCUAGGACAGCCAGAAAUAAGGGUUAGCAAAGCUGGAAGAGAUCUUACAAAAUAUCCUGUUCCUGAGUGUAUGUGCAUUUAUAAUCAAACCUCUCACACUAUUUAAACCUUUUUUUUUGUUGUUGCGCAUACGAUUAUUAUCUUCAAUAAAAGGGUAAUAACAUGCUCUUCUUUCCACAACACACGAGAUGGUUCAUUUAAAACGCUUAUUAAUUCAUAAAGCUCAAAGUCUUACAGAAAAGGAACAAAAGGAACUUUGCAGGGCACAAACUUAAACGCUUAUUUUCCACAGUGUAUCAAACUGCCUGCACCUAGGACCUGCAGGUAAAAAAGGAUCAAUGAUCAUCAAGCAGUGAUCCACUAUGAAUCGCCCAAACGGUUAAGACUGUUUUUUCCACAAUUGUUUACAAAUAUAGUGACAAUAAUAUUUAAUAAUAAAAAUUAAUAAAUUGUGCAUAUUUAUUGAAAAUAUUUUGAUUAUAUAUUUACAAGAGUUAUAAUCCAGAAUUAUAUUUUAACUAUAGUUAGAUUUGUAAUAUAUUGUUUUCUGUUUAUAGUUUAACAAAUAACAUAGUACAUAAUGAUAUUCUUUAUAGAAGUUUUAGUGUAUUUAACUCAU
Molecule: long non-coding RNA, 1576 nt
Organism: Brassica napus (rape)
Lineage: Eukaryota; Viridiplantae; Streptophyta; Magnoliopsida; Brassicales; Brassicaceae
Exons: 3
Source: RefSeq, a predicted model, not a curated record